UUGUCUCAAAGAUUAAGCCAUGCAUGUCUCAGUACAAGCCGAAUUAAGGUGAAACCGCGAAAGGCUCAUUAAAUCAGUUAUGGUUCCUUAGAUCGUACCCACAUUUACUUGGAUAACUGUGGUAAUUCUAGAGCUAAUACAUGCAAACAGAGCCCCAACCGGAAACGGAAGGGGCGCUUUUAUUAGAUCAAAACCAAUCGGUGUCGGUCUCCGUCAUCGUACAACUUGGUGACUCUGAAUAACUUUACGCUGAUCGCACGGUCUCGCACCGGCGACGCAUCUUUCAAAUGUCUGCCUUAUCAACUGUCGAUGGUAGGUUCUGCGCCUACCAUGGUUGUAACGGGUAACGGGGAAUCAGGGUUCGAUUCCGGAGAGGGAGCCUGAGAAACGGCUACCACAUCCAAGGAAGGCAGCAGGCGCGCAAAUUACCCACUCCCGGCACGGGGAGGUAGUGACGAAAAAUAACGAUACGGGACUCAUCCGAGGCCCCGUAAUCGGAAUGAGUACACUCUAAACCCUUUAACGAGGAUCAAUUGGAGGGCAAGUCUGGUGCCAGCAGCCGCGGUAAUUCCAGCUCCAAUAGCGUAUAUUAAAGUUGUUGCGGUUAAAAAGCUCGUAGUCGAAUCUGUGUCCCGCGCCGCCGGUUCAUCGUUCGCGGUGUUAACUGGCGUGUCGCGGGACGUCCUGCCGGUGGGCUUAGCUCGAGAGGGCGGCCCAACUCAAUCCCGCCGCGGUGCUCUUAAUUGAGUGUCGAGGUGGGCCGGCACGUUUACUUUGAACAAAUUAGAGUGCUUAAAGCAGGCUAAAACUUCGCCUGAAUACUGUGUGCAUGGAAUAAUGGAAUAGGACCUCGGUUCUAUUUUGUUGGUUUUCGGAACCCCGAGGUAAUGAUUAAUAGGAACGGAUGGGGGCAUUCGUAUUGCGACGUUAGAGGUGAAAUUCUUGGAUCGUCGCAAGACGGACAG
This 965-nucleotide ribosomal RNA is filed under the name Euomma sp. COL382. Its description in RNAcentral is "SSU rRNA". It matches the Rfam family "Eukaryotic small subunit ribosomal RNA", at positions 32 to 942 of the family's 1831-position model. Lineage: Eukaryota; Metazoa; Arthropoda; Insecta; Coleoptera; Tenebrionidae. The record is from RNAcentral.